Phasianus colchicus (ring-necked pheasant) is the source of this 11278-nucleotide non-coding RNA. Lineage: Eukaryota; Metazoa; Chordata; Aves; Galliformes; Phasianidae. The record is from RefSeq and is a predicted model, not a curated record.
UGCUGGGGGAGGUUCAGCUUAGAUAUUAGGAAAAAAUUCUUCUGUGAAAGAAUUGUCAGGCAUUGGCACAGGCUGGUGUGGCACAGGGAGUGCUGGGGCACCGUUUCUGGAGUGGUCCAGAAUCAUGGAGAUGUGACACUGAGGGAGGUGUCUCAGUGGGCAUGGUGGCUGUGGUUUGGGGUUGGUGAUCUUAGAGCUCUUUUCCAACCUGAAUGAUUCUGUAAUUUCUGUGAUAAUAUCUUUCGGAGAAAUCUCCGUUUGCUGACUGGUCCCAACAAACAAAUCCCUUAGAUGCUCAGCAAGGUAGUCACUACGUGGUCAAGCACAAGCAUGAACGAUGAGCUAUACUGCUUAAUCACAACUCUGAAAGCUAAAUGGAUCUUGGGCACAUGUUCAGACCUUUAUAAAAAUGCAUGGAAAUCAAGGCAGCUAUUUAAGGAUUGAAUAGAAACAUAAUUGAGUAUUUAGUAGUACAGAUGGCCGUGAUGGAAGGAGCUCUGAAUGGCUGGGCAGAGCUGGGAUAUAUGGCUGGUGUGCCUUUCCUGUGUGCAGUCCUUACAGCCGUGCUGCCUCAGCAGUGAUGUUCAGACUGUGCCCAGGAUCUCUGAAAGGUGAGGUCUAAAAUGAAGGCUCUGAGAGCACAGUUCAGAUGGAAUUCCCCCCUGCAGCUCUGGAUUGAUGCUCAGUCGUGACCCCUUGCUACACCAACAAAGUAUUUUAUUUUGUUUGAGGUUAACUUUUGCCUCAUAGCUGACAGCAGUAAAAAUCACCUUGAAACACUGGUAUUUCUGACGCUUUAUUUUUAGAGAUUCAGCUUAUGUCACUGUUAAAUAAGCAUUGCAACAGAACAGUAAUUUUUGAAUUGUUUGGUUGCACAAUGUUUAACCAAGGCAGCAAAUGUUUGCACAAAAAGGGAACAACUUCUCAGUGUUUUAAAUAAGGUGGGGACAAAUGGUUGAAUUCUGCAUUCUGUAACACUGUAUCACAAACUGUCUUCCUUGCAAGGUGACGUGUUUGCAAAGGUCCAGCAGAGGUAGGAACUAUGAGGAAACACAUUUUUCCUGUCUUGCUCACAGCAUCCUCUCUUUUGUACUCACGUUUGUGACCGCUGUUCUCUGUGCAGAGAGCAUUCCCAGGACUCCACUCCCACAAGGCACAGUGGGUGCUGAAGGUCCAACAUCUGCAUGAUGGAAAGGCAAGCCCCAACUGACCUUGCUUCCAAAUGUUCACGUUCACGUGAAAAACAGCAACCUGAGAGCCAACACUGAGCGCAUUGAAAGCACAACAUUGGGAAGCACUGAGGAUCUCCUAUUUCCAUUGAGUCCUUUUCCUUCCUCCAGCAAAACCUGGGGCUCAACUCUGUCCCUACACAGCUGGACUCUUCUAUGAGCUCCUCCAAUAAGGUAAUUUUUAUCAGUAUUAAAAAUGUAUAUACUUUAGUGAUGUCAGUCUAAGGGUACAAGGAUACCUCAGCACAGUAGGACUUUUUUUUAGUACAUACAUAAGUUACUGUUUAAUAAACGUGGGCUGUCUUAAAUAGGAGAUUUGUCUCAGUAAUAUCUUCCAGCUGAAUUUCUAAAGAAUGCUUGAUUGAUAAUGCUCACUUAGAAAGGAAACAUUGCUGAUAGUAUGUACGCUUCCUGGAUUUUUCCUCUUCAUGUUUUUGGAAAAUGGAAGAUUAGGUUUCAAGAAGUUUGUGUGCUUUUGGCUUCUAUACAAUAAUAAAUCAACUUUAAUUUUAAUAACUUGGCUUUUAUCCUGACUGUUAAAGUAUUUCCCAAAGUGAUUUGACAUGGCACAGCCUUGAUUUAAAUGGAACUGCUGAAUGCCAGUUCCUUCGUUGCUCUUGUUUUGAUACAUCCUGCUAUGCGUGAUUCUGCAGGCUGUCUUUGGAAUGUUAAAUGUGUUUUUAACUGUUAUAACUUUGCCAUAAUGCACAAACUGCAGACGGAGAUGAAGAAAAAUGGAGCAGUCCCAUAGCAGCUGGGUGCUUUGGGCAGUCAGCACUCAGCCCUGUGCAUGUUGCAAUUGCAAAUAUGUACAGAUAAAAUGCAGGCAAGGCAAAACGCGUUAAUGGACAGAGGAAAAUGUAAAGGGUUUUAUAAAGCACUUGUGAGAGCAAUUUAGUUUUGCCUUGUAAUACAUCACUGGAGACAGCAAAAGCAGGGAGGAUGGUACUUUUUAACUGCAUUUCCCUAUGGGCAUAAGUGUAAUCCCUGCUUUAUGUUCUGAACAUUUGUCAGUGCAGAAGGCUGCAGAUUUCGCCUCGUGUAACUCUUGCAGGGCUUUCAUGCAGCCUUCUAGAUGGACCCCCGUGUCAUUCUGUGAUUUUGUAACGUGGAAUCCAGGAAGUGUGACCUUGUUUAAAAAAGUCUCAGUUGUGAAAGUGCCUCUUUGAGACACCAGCGCUGCUCAGCACACCUGAUUGUAGCAGAACAGUGAAUGCUCAGAUCUGCAUGUGGCUGAUUGUAACUGAGGAGUUAGGAAUAAAAAGACAGAGAAAUGCAGUGCAUACAAAGGUAGGAGGAAAUAGUCCUGCAAACUAGACACAACUAAAUUCUGGUGAAGACAAGUAUUUUUCUGUACACAACAUUGUAGUUGUAAAAGAACCAAAACCUAUUGGAAUAGGUUAGCUUAUGUUGAGAUUUUGCAGCUGCUAUGGUUUAGGCAAUUCUUUUUAAUGAUUGUUUUUUUCUACCCUUCUGGAUCCUAGUAUGCAAUUUUACAUAUUUGUAGUGAAGGCAGCAUUUUAGAAGGAGCAGAGGAAAUUUGACCUUGGCUUGAAAACUUGCUUUUUAGGAAUGAGGCAAUUAACUGCAGUAAUUAAACUCCCUAAAUUGGAGGAGUCUUCAACAGUAAUAUUUCCCUUAUAAAAACAGAUCCAAAGAGGACCCAAUUAGAAUAUCAUUCCAUGUAAGUUAAAUCAUUGAAAUUAAAGAAAAUUUGAAAUGAGCCAGAGGAGAGAACAGAAAUUUGCUCUUCUGUUAAUAAAAUAGGAGAUGGUAGAGAAGAUCACAAGAACCAAAAAUCACAAACAUUGGGAUGAGCUGACCCAGGGAGGUCAGGUAGCCUAUCGCUGACCGAUUGACCUCCUGAGAACAAAGCAGUUUGUUUAUCACAGGAAAAGCCAUAGCUUUGUCAGGGUAAACAUUAUAAAACUUGAGGCUUGUGAUUUAGUAUCUGAUCUUACAGCUGAGUGAUUUAUAUUUCAUCCAUGUGCUUGUUAGGGAUACCAACUCAGCUGCCAUCUGCAGGGUCAGGGCCUGCAGUAACUGUGUAUUAAAUGCAUCAAAUACACGUUCAUAACUUGGUGUAUAGGAGGGCAUGGCUGCAGCCCUGAAGUCAGCAGGACCCUUCCUCUUUCCUAUGCUGGACCUGAGUUGGGUGUGAAGGAAAAACAAACAAAUGAAACUAAAGGAAACAACUGAAUAAAACUCCAAGAAACCACUAAAUGAACCCUUUGUGUCCCAGAAAAUAAGCUGGUAAUUUAAGGCACUGUGUCAGCAGGCCCAUUUGCUGCUGGAUCCAGUCUCUGCCCUCCCACCACAUUGCUGCAUGCACCAAGGUCCAGGCAGUGUGAUGGAGGCUGAAAUAUGCUGCAGGCUUCAGCACAAAGAGCCAAAUGGUGAUGCUUUGGACUUGCUAGUCCCCAAGAUCUUUUCCAACCUUAAUGAUUCUAUGAUUUAUGGCCCUGUUGAUUUCAGUGUUGACUGCCUUGAAGACUGGGAUUGUGAGCAGUGAUUCAUUCAUCCACCAGUUCUUCCCAGUCCCAUGGGAGCUGUGAAAGCUUGUUUCAAUCACAUUUCCUGAAGGCAACUGGUGUUUGGGACAGGUUGCUGGGCUGCGCUCUGCUGCUGGUGACUGAGUUGUUAUCUCCUGGGUGUAACCUUGGCAAUGUUAUCUGCCUGAAAUUUCUAAGGCUUCAGCUCCACAGUGCUGUGACUUCUGUGAGGAGGGCACUGGGUGUGCAGCCAUCUGUGGGAAAGAUUCUCAGGGAAUAAAGGCCGGAAAUGUGCUGAGCAGAGAACUGCUCUUUCAGGUUUUGGCACAGUAAACUUGUAAGAAACUUUGGUCUUGGAGAUUCAUGAUCCUUGAGGUCCCUUCCAACCCUGGCAAUUCUAUGAUUCUGUGGUCUGCUUGUUGGGAAGAGAAAGUGCAGUAAAAAGGGAACCAGGUCUGGGAGGACAUUGAGCAGAACCAGAAAUGAUGCUGAGACAGUUGGGGAUAGAGGCAGGACGGUCGUUUUUGGCAGAUCUACACAAAGAGUCACUUGAGAACAAGCUUGUAUUGAGAGGUUUUAUUCUGCUGUUAUACUCACAAAAAAAGCAAAGCCUGCAAAGUGUGGAAGCAGAAACCUGGAGUUUGUGUUUUCUGCUCUACCAUAUGCUCAAAACCUCUUCUGCAAACUCCUGAUUAUUAUCAGGAGUUUUAGAUUCCUGGCUUUGCUUUCUUUUUCUGUGGGACAAAGUGAUUUGCAAAACCACACAACUAAUGCUCAGUCCUCAAUGUCCAUGUUAUACCCAAGAGCUUUUCCAUGCUUGUCUUGCUUAAAGCAUCACUGCUGCCUGUGGAUCUGCCUUCUAUCCCUUCACUUACCCAGGGAUGUUCAAAGCCAUGGCUCUGGGCUGGUGAGCCUCCUCCUCACCCUUCCUUGCCGUGGAAUUACCAAAUUGCCAGGCUGCUAGUUGUAAUGACCACCAAUGUAAUUUUAUUUGGGGCCAGUUCAUCACAAAGCUUACAGCAGAUAGGGAUCUCGGGAUGCUGGCAAUGUCUUUUUACUUUUUCAGUCAAAAUAUUUGGCCUCUGUAAUAUUUUUAAUAACCAUGACAGAUCUAUUCGAGUAUGCUAAUACACUGCAAACAAUCUGAUUGUUGCUCUCUGAGAGGAGUGGAGCAAGGCAUAGUAACAGGCUGCCUUUAAGGGGAGAACUUACAAGUGUAGAUUCUAGGGGGAAAAUACCUCUACCCUGAGUCACACUGAGGCACCUUUUGUGACUGAGUUACUGGUGAUAACUGAGCUCUUGGUCAGCACACACUACCUUCAGCUGAGGGGUGGCCAGGGGCAGUGCCACCUUUUAUGAAAUUUAAUGGCACAGAAAAAAAUGUCAUUGCAAAUGUUUCUUCCUUCUUUAAAGAGAAAAAAUAUGAUCCUGGCUCCAGGGUGAGAUAAGCCUUGUGUCUGUCUGCAGCUUGGCUGCAAGAGGGGAAGAAGAAAACAUGAAUGCUUUGGGUUUGCUGAUUCCAGCCCUCCUCCACAUCACAUACCAGAGCAAGGGUUGGAUGUGAGAGUGUUUGUUUGGCCCCUCUCACCUCUGAUGAAUCUAUUUGCUGUCUUAUUUCCUAGAAAAAUCAUGUUAAGAUUUAUAAAACCACUAAUUGUUUGUUUCUUCUCUCUUUUGGUGAUGUAAACACUCUCAUGCAAAGUGGAGCAAAGUCAUCCAAAAUUACAGUUAUUAACAGUGUGUGGAAUGACUCCCAGGGACGCGUUCCCCAAAUAAAUUAAGGGUCAGUUCUUGUUCACCAGCGGGUUGUAUGUAAAUUGAGUGUCAGGAUAGUUGAUUUGAGCUCUCAAAAACAAAGUCUGCCCUAAAGCACUCAUUGUUUAGAGUGUAACUAGAAGCUGGAAGAAGUGUGAUUUCUCAGUUUGCCAAGGGAAGCAACCUCUCCCGAUCCUGUACAUGGGCCAGCAUGGGAUGUUAUUACUUGGCUUCAUUCUCAGAAGCAGGAUUUUUAUCUGUUCCUUUUCCUGAGUUCAGUUUUCUCUUUCCAUUUUAUGUUCCCUAUUAUUUUACAAAGCAGUAUAGUUGGCAUUUGUUGUUAGAUGGUAGAUAUUUGAAAGAAGUGUCACGGCUGUUCACUGCAUUGUUGUAUUUUAUUUGAAUGCUUUGUGGUUGUGGAUUGCAUUGUAGAUAUGUCACAUGAACUGACUGCUCAAGUUUCCAGAAAAAAAAAUUAAAUUGCUAUAGCUUUCCAGAUAAGAGAGAAGAAGAAAACUUUAUAUUUUUUCCUUUCAGUUUCUUCUACACCAUGACUUUGUUUAAUGGUGCAGAUGCAGAACCUUGGUUUUUGACUGCAAUCAUAGUAAAAGUUUGUUUCUCUUGGUGUUGUGUGUUAGCAGGAUUUGGUUCAAAACUGCUAUUUCUGAGACAAGCUCUUACUAAGUGCUGCAGGAUGUCCCAUUAUCAUUGCCAGCCUUUUGUGGUGGGACUCAGCAUUAAAAAAACCUUCCCAUGUUUUGCUGCAAUAGAAUUACUCCAAGAAGUUUCCCUUAUGGGAAGAACAUGCAGGCUUUAUUUCCUAUGUGUCUGAAAGAGUAUUUAGAAUUCUGUAAAUCUAUUUAAUAACCUCCAAAGCUAUUUAAGCAUUCCUGAAGCUUCAAUUGGAUGAAUUGACAAGAUAAAGUUAACAAACUGUGGGGCUCUUGUGCCGAAGAUGGGAGGAAUAUAAGAAGUAGAGACAGAGGAACAGGUGGGGAAAAAAAACACUGAAAGAAGCAGUGGGUGUGCAAGGGAACCUCUUAAGUGAGUUUGAUUUCACCCAGCCUCUGUGCAGGGUGUGGAAUACACAAGCAGAGAAGGAAAGGAAGGUGAAGCUGGAGCAUGCAGUCAUUCAUAUAUGGAGCACCUGAGAGGGAAGAACUCCAGCAUCUUGGAGGCAUCACCAGUCUGGGCUGAUGGGGACCACUGGGAUGGUUCUAGAGACAAAGAGGUGCAGGCUCCUGGGUGGCCAUGAGCUCUUCCCUGAGUUCUUUCUCUUCAGAGACUUUAGUUCUGUUAAACAAAGAUAAAGAUAAAGCAAAUGAUUUGUUAUAGCUUUGGAGGAUAUCUGUGUGGAUGAAGUCCACAGAAAAGGUCCAAAACCAGCACAGUACAGUGUGAUUUGUCUUACUCAUUCAAGUGAAAACAUGGUAUGUAUGCUCAGUUAUGGUAAAUAUUAACAUUGCUGGGAAUUUCAUGAUGCAGUGGGGUGAGGUGAGGCUGCAGCCUUCUCAUGUUGCUGUGUUGCCCUGCUGCAAGGUGCUAAGAGGAUGCCAUAAUUCAGGCUUUGCCUAAAGAGAUGUUCAUAUAUGAAUAAAAAAAGUGAGGUUAUACAAACAAAGCAUAAUUUCCAGUGAGAAUCAUUCAGAACUUUUGUUUCACCUGUGUAGUUGUGCUCAAACAAGGCCAUUUUCAAAGAUUUUCUCAGUUCCUCCUUCCAAAGGAACCAUGUAGAGCCCAUUUAGUAGACGGAAGAAAUGUGCUUUGCUGCAGGUAGGUCACACUCAGUUAGCAAACAGGUAACACGUGCAGCAUGACUUCCCUUACUUGUGUGAGCCAGGGAAGGACACCUGGCUUGGGGCGUGCACUGGCAUCACGACACAGUUUGAAGGACAGGAAGUGCUAUAGGUGUCAUGAAAACCAAAAGGUCUUUAGAUCAAAUUUUCAAAGCUAACAAAGCUAGAAUGACUCUUCAAUGAAACUUUGGCCUUUGGCCAUUGACGCUUUGGGAUGAUGUUAACUUUAACAUACAUUUACUCAGUAUUGGUUACCUCUGUGCACAGCAGUGCUGUUGUUUCCAUAGUGCCAGGAAAUGUGAUUGUGAUAUUUCAGUUAGUCACCCAUGCAAUCUGUACGUAUGUGAAAGAAUAUGAAUCUGCCUGUUUUUUUUUUUUUUAAUGCUGUGAGUAAUAUUUAUGAAGUUGUUUGUACUUUGAAACCGCAAACUGGUGAACUCAGAGAUAUAAAAAUGCAAAGAAUUGUAAUUUCUAUGGAUUGAAAAUGUGAAAUCAAAUGUUGAGCAAGAUGCUUUUAAAGGAAACGAUAUAUUUUCUGCACUAUAAUACAAGUUAUUUUCUUGCUGCACAGAAUAAUUUUUCAUUCACUUUUUGAAGGAAGUAAAGCAGAAAACUGUGUUUUACAGCCCCCUCUCCAGCCACUCACUUAAACAAAUGCUUAGGCAGAAUGUCUGGUCAUCAUUUUAUUUUUGACUAUUGGCUUCUGAAUUUUUUUCCUUCCCUCUCCAGAUAUUCAGACAGAUAAAUUGCUGGUUUGCAUCUCUGCCAAUUAGGUAUGCUUUUUUUGCUUUUUUUCCCUCUUUUUUUGCUAAAUGUCCUACUUGCUUCUUGCAGUGUUUCUCACAAUGCCUCUUUCCUGGGAUCAUGAGACAGAGCAAAACUUUGUGCUGUCAGAGGUAAAACUGAGUAUAUGGAAAGGACUCAGAAUUAUUGGAAUGUUACUGGUUUUAUUUUGGAAAGGCCUCACUCCAGUACGAAUACUUAACAUGUGCUGUCAAAUGCAGGUUUACUAAACUACUGAGUGUACCUACAUCACACUUGUCUUUGCUGGGCUCUCUAAACAGUCUGUGCACACACACUAAUUUUGGGAACGCCUGGAGUGGAUAAAAUACCAAAUUACACAGUGCCACCUGCCAGAAGUGUUGCAGUUGGAAUAAGAAGUCAUGGAAACACUGGAGCUCUGGAACAAAAGGGAAGUGACCACCAGUCAGGAAACUAAAAAAUUGAUAGCAGCGUGUCUCCUGGAAUAACAAUUGCAGAAUAGGAGUGUGUGUGAAGUGGGGCAAUACUUAUCAGGGUGUUAUCAGGAAAGAGCCCUUUCUCUGCAGAGUGCUGUAUGUAGAUGAACAGAUCCCAAGUAGGAGUCUGCACAGUGGAAGAGGAAUUACAAACAAGUCCCAGGAUCAGACAUCCAGCAAAGGAGUGAAUCCCAAAGCUCAGGAAACAACAGUGCCAUGGAGCAAAGCUGUUUGCUUGGGAAGUUCUGCUCAGCUCUGGGCUGCAGUCUAAAGAGAAAAGGAAAAAAACCCAAACACCUUACUCUUGCCUUGGAAACUCUGCAGUAAAGUUCAAUUACUUGAGGGCAGAGGAAGUGCCUGAAGAGGAACUGCUGGGUGUGCAUAAAAUCCCCCUCCUGCCUUGGUGGGGGGAGGGAAAGGAGUUUGAAAGGAGGUUUGCAUUUGGAAUAUAAGUUAACAAGGGAGAAAAGUAAAGACCUCAGUGUGGUAACCACGAGGAUUGUUGCUGCAGUUAGAAAGAAGAGGUUCUUGCUGAUGGCUUUGUGUGUCACAGCCUGCUAGCCAAAUUGAUGGGUGGUGGUAAUAACAGACAUCAGUUUCAGAUUUUCUGAACUGUGUGUGAACUGUGGGUGAACUGCGUGCAUUACACUUUUAUAGGGCUAUGAGGGGUGGGCUGCAAGGCCUGCAAUGGAUUCAGCAGGAAGCAGUUUCUGUCUCCCAUCCCUGUCUGUGUCCCUGAAUGUUUGUGUUUCCAAAGAGUGAAUGGUUGGGUCUUGGUGACAGCCUUGGUGCACAAUUAUUCUGCUGGUCUGCAGACUCUAAGUUGUCGACCAGUCUCUAAUACAACAGCUUCUUUGUUUUGUUUUGUAUCUUGACUUCUUCCCAGGUCAAAGUAUCCAGACAGUAAUGCUAAAAUAAGCUGAUGGAAAGUGCUGAAGGAAGCAGCACAUCAUGAAUUACGUGGUCUUACAUUCUCACUGCAGGCAUUUUUCUUACAUAUUACCUGAGUAGAUCUUGCUGUUGGAGAUACGGCUCGAUAUCCACUUCCCUUAGGAGAUAUCUAGAGCCUUAAAAUAAUUUGGGGAAAUCUGAAGAGCAGUCUUUCUUGAUGUUUUUACUCAGAAAGAAGAGCAUUAAAGGCGCAACAUGCAGUUCUGUGGUCUGACUCAGCUGACAGGGAGGAGGUGUUUGCUUUGGCAGAGUCAUUUUGUUGAACUCUGGGAAGUUUCUUAGGCCAAAAUCUUUGGUCUCACAUAGACUUGUGGUUCAGAAGUGCUUCCUCAGCCUUUUUUUUCAGCUUUCUCUGAUGUAAAAGAGUUUACAGAAAUUAGACUUGACUUAAGGAGAUCAUACAUUGGUCCAACAACUUUUGAGUGAGGCAGGAAGAGCACAGGACACAGGAAGCUUUAUAGUUUAUAGUAUACACAUUCCUUAAUGCACAAAGUGAUUUUAAAAUGUUUAUAUGCCUGUGUAUGACAGAUCUUUUAUAACAGGUUGCUAACACAACUUGGAGGCAAAGCAGAAGAACUUUUUUCAGAGAAUGCCUAAUAGUCUAAUGAUGGUGAAGUAAAUUCAAUCGUGUUAAAUACAGUUCCUGCUUUGUAAUUUGGUCAGAUUUUGAAGUAUUUUUACUGAAGACAGUAAUAGCUUAGAAAAACCAAACUCUGAAAGCUAAUCGUUGGUUCACGUGAGUAUUUACUAUCCAGAGUGUUCGGCGAACUUGAUUGAUCUGAGCAAUGCAAAGAGGUGAGGCCACAAGUACAAAAAUUUUAUAGCAUCCAUAAAGUACUGUAUACAGUUUUUGCUCAAUUUUAUGCUGUUAAACUAAACAUUUGGUAUCAUAUGGCACUUUAAGUACUUUGAUUUAUGUUAAGACAGAAAUUGCAUCUGUAAUAAACAUUCUAAAGUAUGAGUUUAAGAGUAAUCUACUGUAUUUAUUUGUGGCAUAAACUCUCACCAGCAAUGCAUUUAAAAAUCGUCUUAGGCUUAAGUCACGCUGCACAUUACAGCCACAUUGCACUUCAGCCACAGCAAGGUCACAUCCAAGGUGAUGUCUGAAUGGGAAUGAAGGGGUGGCAUGGUAAUAUUAUGUAGCAGCAAACAGAAAAAUACUCAUUUUCUCCUGUUAAGUAUUCCAGAUACAGGAUUUUCUUACUUUACUGUAAAGAAUCCCAUGUUUUACCAAACAAGAUAAAGUACAAAUGCAUCUUGUUUAAUAUGAAAAUAAGCACUCAGGAAUGAAAAUAGCAUGAAAAACUAUCUGACAUAUUUGAAAAUAAAUACCAUAAAAUUGCAUGUGUUUCAGGUUUGUACAGUUUCCCUCAAGGAUGAAUGAAAGCACAGAUAUCCAUUGUUGGACUAGAGCCUGCCAUGGCUGUGCACCGCAGGAAGAAUUCUCCUACCAUUACACUUACUAUUUUGGUAUUGAAUCAAUUAUACGUAGUGGAACUGCUUAAGAAUAAUGAAGAAAAAGAAGGAUACUCUGUCUUGUAACAUUUCUGUUACAUAUUGGUUCAACAGUGACAUGUUGCAUUUCUUAUGGUAAGGAAAAUUUAAGACUAUGACACUAUAAAGGUUUGCAUAAACUUAAAUGGGGCAAGAAUAUGGGAAAGCAGUAUUAAGGCCAUACUGCUCAGUUAGCAGAAAGUGAGGAUGAUGUUCUUCCCUGAGUGCUCUCUUUUCCUGGAAUACUUUGUCAUAGUACUUGGCAGAAACAAUCUGCCACAGUUGUCAGAAGCUCUUAAAAACACUCUUGCACAGUGUAUUUU